CCUUCUUGACAAGCCACAACCACAGAGCUUCGAAAGCGCAAACAGGAAGAGAACCAACUGGGACUAUAAAGCAAAUUUCUUCUCUUCUCCCUCACAGGCAGAAGCAUUAUGGCAAUGGUUCCCCAAGAUCUGAGCACUGUUGUUGUUCACUGUGCUCUCGAGCUUCGCCAAGCUGGAGACGAGCUCUACUGGAGAUACAAGCUGCUUGAAAUACUGAUCAGGAACUACAAGACUGUGGCUAAGAUCAGAUGAGACAUGGAGUCGGUGGACGUCAACGUGAAUCGGAUAUUGCUCGACUCAAAUUCUAUCCGGAGAAACUUCUCGGAUACAAAAUAACCCCUGGUGGCAAAAUGGUGGCCCUUAAGUGGGAUGUACAUACGCUUGUGGACACGCCCCUACCGGCUUGCCGUUCGGUUGAACCGUGUCCUGUACAGGAGCUGAGCCCAGCUGUGUGGAAUGCUGCUGAACCACUGGCACUCACACAUUCAGCCUGGACGAGGGAGGUACUGCUAGAUGCAAGUUAACCAAUGCAGAUUGUCACAUGUCCUCUGUACACGUGACAUAUGUACAUGUAUAUUGCGUCUCUCAUGCAUGUCAUGCACUCUGACACUGUCACAUUUUGUUCACUGUGACUUGAGCAUGUAUUUUCGAUGUUGAUCUUAUGGGAAGUGUAUCAUGAGGUUCUAAUAAAUAUAUAAAAAUAG
Molecule: long non-coding RNA, 704 nt
Organism: Platichthys flesus (European flounder)
Lineage: Eukaryota; Metazoa; Chordata; Actinopteri; Pleuronectiformes; Pleuronectidae
Exons: 2
Source: RefSeq, a predicted model, not a curated record